AACCUUACCAGGUCUUGACAUCCCGAUGCUAUUUCUAGAGAUAGAAAGUUACUUCGGUACAUCGGUGACAGGUGGUGCAUGGUUGUCGUCAGCUCGUGUCGUGAGAUGUUGGGUUAAGUCCCGCAACGAGCGCAACCCCUAUUGUUAGUUGCCAUCAUUCAGUUGGGCACUCUAGCGAGACUGCCGGUAAUAAACCGGAGGAAGGUGGGGAUGACGUCAAAUCAUCAUGCCCCCUUAUGACCUGGGCUACACACGUGCUACAAUGGUUGGUACAACGAGUUGCGAGUCGGUGACGGCGAGCUAAUCUCUUAAAGCCAAUCUCAGUUCGGAUUGUAGGCUGCAACUCGCCUACAUGAAGUCGGAAUCGCUAGUAAUCGCGGAUCAGCACGCCGCGGUGAAUACGUUCCCGGGCCUU
Molecule: ribosomal RNA, 415 nt
Filed under: uncultured Streptococcus sp.
Lineage: Bacteria; Bacillati; Bacillota; Bacilli; Lactobacillales; Streptococcaceae
Description: bacterial SSU rRNA
Rfam family: Bacterial small subunit ribosomal RNA
Source: RNAcentral